Molecule: ribosomal RNA, 253 nt
Filed under: uncultured bacterium
Lineage: Bacteria
Description: partial 16S ribosomal RNA
Rfam family: Bacterial small subunit ribosomal RNA
Source: RNAcentral
UACAGGGGGUGCAAACGUUGCUCGGAAUUAUUGGGCGUAAAGCGCGCGUAGGCGGCUACUUAAGUCGGAUGUGAAAGCCCUUGGCUCAACUGAGGAAGUGCACCCGAAACUGAGUGGCUAGAGUACGAAAGAGGGUCGCGGAAUUCCCGGUGUAGAGGUGAAAUUCGUAGAUAUCGGGAGGAACACCGGUGGCGAAGGCGGCGACCUGGGUCGAUACUGACGCUCAGGCACGAAAGCGUGGGGAGCAAACAGG